GAUGAACGCUGGCGGCGUGCCUAAUACAUGCAAGUCGAACGAUGAAGCUGGAGCUUGCUCCGGUGGAUUAGUGGCGAACGGGUGAGUAACACGUGAGCAAUCUGCCCUUGACUCUGGGAUAACUGCGGGAAACUGUAGCUAAUACCGGAUACUUUCACUGGAAGGCAUCUUCUGGUGAAGAAAGAAUUUCGGUCAAGGAUGAGCUCGCGGCCUAUCAGCUUGUUGGUGAGGUAACGGCUCACCAAGGCGACGACGGGUAGCCGGCCUGAGAGGGUGACCGGCCACACUGGGACUGAGACACGGCCCAGACUCCUACGGGAGGCAGCAGUGGGGAAUAUUGCACAAUGGGCGCAAGCCUGAUGCAGCAACGCCGCGUGAGGGAUGAAGGCCUUCGGGUUGUAAACCUCUUUUAGCAGGGAAGAAGCGAAAGUGACGGUACCUGCAGAAAAAGCACCGGCUAACUACGUACCAGCCGCCGCCGUAA
RNAcentral lists this ribosomal RNA (484 nucleotides) under uncultured bacterium. RNAcentral's name for it is "partial 16S ribosomal RNA". It matches the Rfam family "Bacterial small subunit ribosomal RNA", at positions 28 to 523 of the family's 1533-position model. The record is from RNAcentral.